Callithrix jacchus (white-tufted-ear marmoset) is the source of this 997-nucleotide long non-coding RNA. RefSeq lists it as uncharacterized. NCBI's taxonomy places the organism in Eukaryota, Metazoa, Chordata, Mammalia, Primates, Cebidae. The record is from RefSeq and is a predicted model, not a curated record.
UAUGGCAAGCAGGAGUCUUGCGGUUUCAGACUCUCAAUUCUGAGUUGGUGGGCCCACCUGCUCUGAGCUGGCUUAGAGGAGAAGGAAGAGUAGCUGCCCGCCAGGAUACUGGAGCCUGCAGUAUAGGGUUGCGUCACUGUUUCGGUUGGUAGCGGUGAUGGAGACUAAAGCACAGCUGGAAAAGUAAAAAGAUGGCGGGGCUUUCUUGGCUUUGCCCGCCCAGCUGUUCCAUGCCAGGAGAAGGAAGAGCCAUCUGCUGCAUGAUGGAGGCUGGAGCCUGUGGCACCAUGGCUCGCCUCACUGAGAUGGGUGGCAGUGACAGAGACUGCUGAGCGCCGGAGAGGACAACCAAGUCCCUAUAUGUCUCCUCUGGACAGCAUGGGUGAAAUCUUCUAAAAGACAACAAUUGUCAAAACCUCCUCACCAUGACAGCAAGCAAGGAGGAAGGACCCUGAAGACUCUCAAUGGCCCUUUUCAGCAGGAAGUAGCUACAGAGGAUGAUGUCUGCCCCAUCUCUCAAAAGAUUUCUGGGUCCCAACCACUUGAGGGAGAAUGUAAGAGGAGUAGACAGUCAGAUAUGAGCAGGCACAAGGGGGAGGUAUCCAUGUUGGAAAGAAUCCCCCAGAACACCUCUUUGGAUGCUCAGUACUCCAUCUUCAAACUGUCAGAAUGUUGUUAACUAGAUUAUGAUAAGGAAAAAAGAGGCAAAGUGAAAUUCCUGAGAGCUGAGCAGGCACAAUGAGUACAAAAUUGACUGCUAUACCUUCCCAGGGUGGUGGUAUUAUGCAAUGCCACCAUUAGGUAGGAUUCAUGUUGAUUAAUGUUUCCCAUGUAUGUGCAUUAAGCACAGUAAGGGAGGAUCCCCCGAAUUUUGGUGAGAACUGGGCAAAGAAAUAACUGAGACAAUAUUAGAUAACAAUGCAGAAUGUCAUGGGGAUGUUUCCAGGAGGGUCAGCCCCCUCCUCUCUUGGAGUGUAUUUGUACUUUCCCAAUAAAA